RNAcentral lists this ribosomal RNA (279 nucleotides) under uncultured bacterium. RNAcentral describes it as "partial 16S ribosomal RNA". It matches the Rfam family "Bacterial small subunit ribosomal RNA", at positions 506 to 784 of the family's 1533-position model. The record is from RNAcentral.
UGCCAGCCGCCGCGGUAAUACGGAGGGGGUUAGCGUUGUUCGGAAUUACUGGGCGUAAAGCGCACGUAGGCGGAUCAGAAAGUUGGGGGUGAAAUCCCAGGGCUCAACCCUGGAACUGCCUCCAAAACUCCUGGUCUAGAGUUCGAGAGAGGUGAGUGGAAUCCCGAGUGUAGAGAUAGAAUUCAUAAAUAUUAGAAGGAACACCAGUGGCGAAGGCGACUGUCUGGAUCAAAACUGACGCUGAGGUGCGAAGGCAUGGGGAGCAAACAGGAUUAGAUA